CCUACGGGGGGCUGCAGUGGGGAAUCUUGGACAAUGGGCGCAAGCCUGAUCUAGCCAUGCCGCGUGAGCGAUGAAGGCCUUAGGGUUGUAAAGCUCUUUCAGUGGGGAAGAUAAUGACUGUACCCACAGAAGAAGCCCCGGCUAACUCCGUGCCAGCAGCCGCGGUAAUACGGAGGGGGCUAGCGUUGUUCGGAAUUACUGGGCGUAAAGCGCACGUAGGCGGACCAGAAAGUAGGGGGUGAAAUCCCGGGGCUCAACCUCGGAACUGCCUUCUAAACUCCUGGUCUUGAGGUCGAGAGAGGUGAGUGGAAUUCCGAGUGUAGAGGUGAAAUUCGUAGAUAUUCGGAGGAACACCAGUGGCGAAGGCGGCUCACUGGCUCGAUACUGACGCUGAGGUGCGAAAGCGUGGGGAGCAAACAGGAUUAGAUACCCCAGUAGUC
This 440-nucleotide ribosomal RNA is filed under the name uncultured Paracoccaceae bacterium. Its description in RNAcentral is "bacterial SSU rRNA". It matches the Rfam family "Bacterial small subunit ribosomal RNA", at positions 338 to 795 of the family's 1533-position model. Lineage: Bacteria; Pseudomonadati; Pseudomonadota; Alphaproteobacteria; Rhodobacterales; Paracoccaceae. The record is from RNAcentral.